This is a non-coding RNA of Podarcis lilfordi (Lilford's wall lizard), 74 nucleotides long. The record is from the annotation of a GenBank genome assembly. NCBI's taxonomy places the organism in Eukaryota, Metazoa, Chordata, Lepidosauria, Squamata, Lacertidae.
GCCUGGGAUAGCUCCCUCGGUAGAGCAUGAGACUCUUAAUCUCAGAGUCGUGGGUUUGAGCCCCACAUUGGGCA